Molecule: non-coding RNA, 28 nt
Filed under: Escherichia coli
Lineage: Bacteria; Pseudomonadati; Pseudomonadota; Gammaproteobacteria; Enterobacterales; Enterobacteriaceae
Source: RNAcentral
GGCGUCAGGUCCGGAAGGAAGCAGCGCC